GACGAACGCUGGCGGCGUGCUUAACACAUGCAAGUCGAACGGAAAGGCCCUGCUUUUGUGGGGUGCUCGAGUGGCGAACGGGUGAGUAACACGUGAGUAACCUGCCCUUGACUUUGGGAUAACUUCAGGAAACUGGGGCUAAUACCGGAUAGGAGCUCCUGCUGCAUGGUGGGGGUUGGAAAGUUUCGGCGGUUGGGGAUGGACUCGCGGCUUAUCAGCUUGUUGGUGGGGUAGUGGCUUACCAAGGCUUUGACGGGUAGCCGGCCUGAGAGGGUGACCGGACACAUUGGGACUGAGAUACGGCCCAGACUCCUACGGGAGGCAGCAGUGGGGAAUAUUGCACAAUGGGCGGAAGCCUGAUGCAGCAACGCCGCGUGCGGGAUGACAGCCUUCGGGUUGUAAACCGCUUUCGCCUGUGACGAAGCGUGAGUGACGGUAAUGGGUAAAGAAGCACCGGCUAACUACGUG
RNAcentral lists this ribosomal RNA (468 nucleotides) under uncultured bacterium. RNAcentral's name for it is "partial 16S ribosomal RNA". It matches the Rfam family "Bacterial small subunit ribosomal RNA", at positions 28 to 507 of the family's 1533-position model. The record is from RNAcentral.